This 305-nucleotide ribosomal RNA is filed under the name uncultured bacterium. RNAcentral describes it as "bacterial SSU rRNA". It matches the Rfam family "Bacterial small subunit ribosomal RNA", at positions 334 to 631 of the family's 1533-position model. The record is from RNAcentral.
UGGCCCUACGGGGCGCAGCAGUAGGGAAUUUUCGUCAAUGGGCGCAAGCCUGAACGAGCAAUGCCGCGUGAACGAGGAAGGUCUUCGGAUCGUAAAGUUCUGUUGAAGGGGAAAAAGAGCGGAGAGAGGAAAUGGUCUCCGAUUGAUAUUACCCUUCGAGGAAGUCACGGCUAACUACGUGCCAGCAGCCGCGGUAAUACGUAGGUGGCGAGCGUUAUCCGGAAUGAUUGGGCGUAAAGAGCGCGUAGGCGGGGGGUCAAGUCAGAUGUGAAAUCCUGUAGCUUAACUACAGAACUGCAUUUGAA